Molecule: non-coding RNA, 43 nt
Filed under: Dictyostelium discoideum
Lineage: Eukaryota; Evosea; Eumycetozoa; Dictyosteliales; Dictyosteliaceae
Also listed under: 1 other name
Description: Class I RNA from Dictyostelium
Rfam family: Class I RNA from Dictyostelium
Source: Rfam by way of RNAcentral
GUUGACCUUACAGCAAUUCUUCUAAGAAACCCCCCGUCAACUG